UUGGGACACUUGCAAGAUCUGAGUAUCAAACAAAGAGUAAUGAUAAAGAGAUAGAAACAUUAAUCACCCUAAUCUAAUCAUUACACAUCAUAUGCAUGUAGUAAAAUAUCACACUGCACCUUAUAAAUGUGAACGAUUAUUAUGCUAUUCAAAAAAAUUCUUUCAAAGGUGUUAAAGGAGAUCUCAGUGCUAACUACCCUGAUUUGGCCAUUACACAUCCUGUACACACCUGGAAUAACUACAAUGUACCCCAUAAAUAUGUACAAUUAAGAUAAUAAUUUUUAAAAUUAAUUUAAAAGGUAGACACUUUGCCCUUUAACCAACAGAAAGUUCACGAUAUUAAGAGAGGUGAAUCAUUGGAAUGGCAUUACCUGUGAAUAAAUGGAGAAAGUGUGAGCAGUCCUGGCAGACCCAAUGCAGCCACCUUGUACAAAUGGGGAAGCUCAGGACCAUGGGCAAGGGGUGCCAUUCCCAUCUGGAAAAUGUGAUAAAUAGUACUUUGCCCUUCCUUGGCCUUGCUAUGCAGUACCUCUAAAUUAAUGCAUUUAAGCAUUGAGAUCACCAGCAGUACUGAUUCCUUCUCCAAUAGGCUAUCUGUUAUAAAAUAAAAUAAUCCUGACAUUAUUUGCUCACUGGAAAGAAAUUUGUCACUAUAGCAAAUAAAAACUAGUCCUGAUGUUUUUCCAGUAAGCUUGUCCCUAACAAUAUCCUUUACUAUUGCUGUACAGAAAGAUUUGAUAGCCUUUGUCUAUUAAUGAUAUUUGUUAUCAUU
Molecule: long non-coding RNA, 772 nt
Filed under: Marmota monax (woodchuck)
Lineage: Eukaryota; Metazoa; Chordata; Mammalia; Rodentia; Sciuridae
Source: RNAcentral